This 333-nucleotide ribosomal RNA is filed under the name Ascochyta lentis. RNAcentral's name for it is "SSU rRNA". It matches the Rfam family "Eukaryotic small subunit ribosomal RNA", at positions 719 to 1052 of the family's 1831-position model. The record is from RNAcentral. Lineage: Eukaryota; Fungi; Ascomycota; Dothideomycetes; Pleosporales; Didymellaceae.
UUCUCACUGGGGUGGGUUGGGGAACCAGGACUUUUACUUUGAAAAAAUUAGAGUGUUCAAAGCAGGCCUUUGCUCGAAUACGUUAGCAUGGAAUAAUAGAAUAGGACGUGCGGUCCUAUUUUGUUGGUUUCUAGGACCGCCGUAAUGAUUAAUAGGGACAGUCGGGGGCAUCAGUAUUCAAUUGUCAGAGGUGAAAUUCUUGGAUUUAUUGAAGACUAACUACUGCGAAAGCAUUUGCCAAGGAUGUUUUCAUUAAUCAGUGAACGAAAGUUAGGGGAUCGAAGACGAUCAGAUACCGUCGUAGUCUUAACCGUAAACUAUGCCGACAGUCGU